Molecule: long non-coding RNA, 273 nt
Filed under: Phasianus colchicus (ring-necked pheasant)
Lineage: Eukaryota; Metazoa; Chordata; Aves; Galliformes; Phasianidae
Description: lncRNA (ENSPCLG00000001317.1)
Source: RNAcentral
UCUUUUACAGUUCUGCUUAUUCUCAUUCAAGGAGAUUGUGAUCAAACUGCAGGAAGUAAAGAGUGGCCUACUAGAGAUGAGAAAAUAGAAAGGCAUUCCCUGAGAGAAGACUGGUAUCGUGGUUGAAACAUGCUCACAAAAACAUUCUGCAUGACCAGGCAAAGAUGAAGUCAAGAGCAGCAACAAUAAGUGGCUCAUUGCUCUCUGAAGAUUGCUUACUUUAACAUCUGGGAGGUAUAUGAGAAAGAGGUUUGGCACUGGGAACACCUGAGG